This 492-nucleotide ribosomal RNA is filed under the name uncultured bacterium. RNAcentral's name for it is "partial 16S ribosomal RNA". It matches the Rfam family "Bacterial small subunit ribosomal RNA", at positions 29 to 507 of the family's 1533-position model. The record is from RNAcentral.
AGUGAACGCUGGCGGUAGGCCUAACACAUGCAAGUCGAACGGCAGCACAGUAAGAGCUUGCUCUUACGGGUGGCGAGUGGCGGACGGGUGAGGAAUACAUCGGAAUCUACUUUUUCGGGGGGGAUAACGUAGGUAAACUUACGCUAAUACCGCAUACGACCUACGGGUGAAAGCAGGGGAUCUUCGGACCUUGCGCGAUUGAAUGAGCCGAUGUCGGAUUAGCUAGUUGGCGGGGUAAAGGCCCACCAAGGCGACGAUCCGUAGCUGGUCUGAGAGGAUGAUCAGCCACACUGGAACUGAGACACGGUCCAGACUCCUACGGGAGGCCGCAGUGGGGAAUAUUGGACAAUGGGCGCAAGCCUGAUCCAGCCAUCCCGCGUGGGUGAAGAAGGCCUUCGGGUUGUAAAGCCCUUUUGUUGGGAAAGAAAAGCAGCAGGUUAAUACCCCGCUGUUCUGACGGUACCCAAAGAAUAAGCACCGGCUAACUUCGUG